RNAcentral lists this transfer RNA (46 nucleotides) under Iberesia sp. CRBAME000968. RNAcentral describes it as "tRNA-Leu". The record is from RNAcentral. Lineage: Eukaryota; Metazoa; Arthropoda; Arachnida; Araneae; Nemesiidae.
CUAAUUGGCAGAAUAUUGCAUUAAAGUUAGAUUUUAAUCACACUAU